Neofelis nebulosa (Clouded leopard) is the source of this 462-nucleotide long non-coding RNA. RefSeq lists it as uncharacterized. The record is from RefSeq and is a predicted model, not a curated record. The transcript has 2 exons. Lineage: Eukaryota; Metazoa; Chordata; Mammalia; Carnivora; Felidae.
UCGUCCUUAGAAAAGAGAGGUCAUUGAAGAGUUUUCAGAGGGAGAAGGGCAAGGUCAGGUUUGUUUCAGAAAGGUGGUGCUGGUGAGCUAGAGUGCCAGCACUGUAUUCUAGCAGAAAUAACAUCCAGGGGCCAGUGGCAAGGACAGGCAUUCCCAAGCUCAGAUGUCAACAGGGCAGAUAAAAAAAAAAAAAAAAAAAAAAAGUCUGCAGCUCAGAAGUCAUCUGUAGAUUUGAGGGCCAUUAGCCAAACACAGAGAUGAAAUGGAGUCACUCAAGGACAUCUAGACUGGCCAAGGCAUGUAGGAGAGGCAAAGGCUGAUCAUAGCCAGCUUUCAAAAAUGUUCCGUGAAGGACGGAACAUCCUCAGAGGAGAGAUGGCUUCAGAGCACAUUCUCUGCUAAGACAAACACCAACAAGCAUUUCAACCAACUGCAACGACUUGCAAUAAAUCCUGUAAGCGA